Molecule: ribosomal RNA, 119 nt
Filed under: Pteropus vampyrus (large flying fox)
Lineage: Eukaryota; Metazoa; Chordata; Mammalia; Chiroptera; Pteropodidae
Source: RNAcentral
GUCUAUGGCCAUACCAUUCUGAACGUGCCCGUUCUUGUCUGAUCUCGGAAGCUAAGCGGGGUCGGGCCUGGUUAGUACUUGGAUGGGAAACCACCUAGGAAGACCAAGUGCUAUAGGCA